UACGUAGGGUGCAAGCGUUAAUCGGAAUUACUGGGCGUAAAGCGUGCGCAGGCGGUUUUGUAAGUCUGUCGUGAAAUCCCCGGGCUCAACCUGGGAAUUGCGAUGGAGACUGCAAGGCUAGAAUCUGGCAGAGGGGGGUAGAAUUCCACGUGUAGCAGUGAAAUGCGUAGAGAUGUGGAGGAACACCGAUGGCGAAGGCAGCCCCCUGGGUCAAGAUUGACGCUCAUGCACGAAAGCGUGGGGGAGCAAACAGG
RNAcentral lists this ribosomal RNA (254 nucleotides) under uncultured bacterium. RNAcentral describes it as "partial 16S ribosomal RNA". It matches the Rfam family "Bacterial small subunit ribosomal RNA", at positions 524 to 776 of the family's 1533-position model. The record is from RNAcentral.